AAUCAACGCUGGCGGCGCGCCUAACACAUGCAAGUCGAACGAGAAAGCCGCAAGGUGAGUAAAGUGGCGUACGGGUGAGUAACACGUGGAUAAUCUGCCCUUUAGUGGGGAAUACCGCUGGGAAACCGGCGACAAUACCGCAUAAGCUCGAGAGAGGAAAGCAGCAAUGCGCUGAAGGAGGAGUCCGCGGCCGAUUAGUUAGUUGGCGGGGUAAAGGCCCACCAAGACUGUGAUCGAUAGCCGGCCUGAGAGGGCACACGGCCACACUGGCACUGAAACACGGGCCAGACUCCUACGGGAGGCAGCAGUGGGGAAUCUUGCACAAUGGGGGAAACCCUGAUGCAGCGACGCCGCGUGAGCGAUGAAGCCCCUCGGGGUGUAAAGCUCUUUCGGCAGGGAAGAUUAUGACGGUACCUGCAAAAGCAGCUGCGGCUAACUACGUGCCAGCAGCCGCGGUAAUACGUAGGCAGCAAGCGUUGUUCGGAGUUACUGGGCGUAAAGGGUGCGUAGGCGGCUUUUUAAGUUUGGUGUGAAAUCUCCCGGCUCAACUGGGAGGGUGCGCCGAAUACUGAGAGGCUAGAGUGUGGGAGAGGAAAGUGGAAUUCCUGGUGUAGCGGUGAAAUGCGUAGAUAUCAGGAGGAACACCGGUGGUGUAAACGGCUUUCUGGACCAUAACUGACGCUGAGGCACGAAAGCGUGGGUAGCAAACAGGAUUAGAUACCCUGGUAGUCCACGCCCUAAACGAUGCAUAUUUGGUGUGGGCCAUUCAUUUGGUCUGUGCCGGAGCUAACGCGUUAAAUAUGCCGCCUGGGG
RNAcentral lists this ribosomal RNA (813 nucleotides) under uncultured bacterium. RNAcentral's name for it is "bacterial SSU rRNA". It matches the Rfam family "Bacterial small subunit ribosomal RNA", at positions 28 to 878 of the family's 1533-position model. The record is from RNAcentral.